Molecule: long non-coding RNA, 533 nt
Organism: Gossypium arboreum
Lineage: Eukaryota; Viridiplantae; Streptophyta; Magnoliopsida; Malvales; Malvaceae
Exons: 2
Source: RefSeq, a predicted model, not a curated record
UUAUUUAAAUUCGAUUUUUUUUUAAAAAAUUUCAUUCUUCCUCUGUUUUAAAAAAAAGAUUCUCUUCUCCUCUCAUUUCCUCUGCAGAGGCCCCCCACACCGAUGAGGGCUUCGGCUAUAGAUCCGACGAACCGUCGCCGUCCUCCGUCGCCGAAGACCGCCGUGUACGACAGUCAGAGGCAGGUGGGCGGUGGAGCAGGUGGAGCAGGUGACUGGCAUGGGCGAUGGGACGUUGGCGGCGCUGGGGUAGGUUAGGGUUUCAGUUUUCUUUUUUUAUUUGUUGUGGGCUAGGGUUAAAAGAAGUUUGGGCAUUGGGUUUUGUUUUAUUUUAUUAGGCUGUAAUUUUGGAUUUGUAAAAAAAAAAAAAAAACUAGACUUUUAAUUUAUUUUUUUUUGUUUGGUUAUUUUCUGGGUCCGGGCCAAAUUGGGCCUCUACAAAUAUGAUUCUGAAUGCAUCCAUAUAUGCAUGUAAUAUUUGUAUUUAAUCAUUGUGAUAUUGAACCUAAUGUAUGCAACUCAUGUUUAUUUUAAAA